RNAcentral lists this ribosomal RNA (253 nucleotides) under uncultured bacterium. RNAcentral's name for it is "partial 16S ribosomal RNA". It matches the Rfam family "Bacterial small subunit ribosomal RNA", at positions 524 to 776 of the family's 1533-position model. The record is from RNAcentral.
UACGUAGGGGGCAAGCGUUGUCCGGAUUUAUUGGGUUUAAAGGGUGCGUAGGUGGUCUAUUAAGUCAGUGCUGAAAUAUCCCGGCUUAACCGGGAGGGUGGCAUUGAUACUGAUGGACUUGAGUAAAGUUGAGGUAGGCGGAAUUGACGGUGUAGCGGUGAAAUGCUUAGAUAUCGUCAAGAACACCGAUAGCGAAGGCAGCUUACUAAGCUUUAACUGACACUGAGGCACGAAAGUGUGGGGAUCAAACAGG